This 253-nucleotide ribosomal RNA is filed under the name uncultured bacterium. Its description in RNAcentral is "partial 16S ribosomal RNA". It matches the Rfam family "Bacterial small subunit ribosomal RNA", at positions 524 to 776 of the family's 1533-position model. The record is from RNAcentral.
UACAGAGGGUGCAAGCGUUGUUCGAAAUUAUUGGGCGUAAAGCGCGUGUAGGCGGCUUAGCAAGUCGGGCGUGAAAGCCCUCGGCUCAACCGAGGAAGUGCACCCGAAACUGCUGAGCUUGAGUGCCGGAGAGGAUGGCGGAAUUCCCCAAGUAGAGGUGAAAUUCGUAGAUAUGGGGAGGAACACCGGUGGCGAAGGCGGCCAUCUGGACGGUAACUGACGCUGAGACGCGAAAGCGUGGGUAGCAAACAGG